UGGACCUGUCUGUUUAAAACUAGCAGGAAGAUGAUGUGAGAUGGUUUGAUCUUCCCUUAAGUGACAAUAAAGUCAUUUCCAGUAGUCUUUUGCUUUCUUAGACCAAUUGAAAAAGGGUAUGACUUAUUAUCCUAACCAAAUGGAUAUCAUCAUUAUCUGCAUUAAGGGAAACCAGCCUUGAGCUCUGUUUGCCAAUCUCAUAUAUAAAGUGUGGUAUGCUUGCCUGGCUCAGACGUUAGUGGAGAACCCUGUCUUUCAUCUUCACAGCUCCAACACCUGUUUGUGAAAUUGAACUGCAUUCUUGGAAGAGAUUUUUAUGUGCUGCUAGCUGCUGGGUAAAUGUGGCAUUUCUAGCUCAUCUUUACAUCUUGGGGAGAAUAUCAGAAAAAAGCAGAAGAAAUGUGUAAUAAAACAUGGCAAAAGUAGUGAUCUGAUCCAACUGAAUCGGCUUCCUCUGCCCACUGAUGUCCAUCUCUGAUCUACAGUUCAAAGAGUAACUCCCAUCCUUCUUGAUACGAUGAUUGACACAGCAUGCCAGAGCCAAGCCAACCAGUGCAUACCUUUCCUCUAGCCACAGGCAUGACUCAAGAGUGAACAGUCUAUUCCAUUCAUGCCAAAGAGUUGCACGGCAGGUUACCAUCAGCUUACAAAGACAGAAGACAGGUUCUCUCUUUCUGGGAACAUUUUUGGAUUCUGUCAAGACCCGUAAUAGGUGCUGUCAAUAAGCUUUUACCUUAGCCAUUCAG
Molecule: long non-coding RNA, 746 nt
Filed under: Oryctolagus cuniculus (rabbit)
Lineage: Eukaryota; Metazoa; Chordata; Mammalia; Lagomorpha; Leporidae
Description: lncRNA (ENSOCUG00000031971.1)
Source: RNAcentral